AAUUGAGCUUAGGUAGGAGGCAUAAAUGAAUCUUAAUCAUCAAUACUUUACUGUAUUGUUUUGAUUUUGAGGAGAAGCUUUUGCUUUUGCUCUCAAAUUAAGCUUCUUCUCAAGUAGCCUCAUACAUUC
Small nucleolar RNA from Arabis alpina (gray rockcress), 129 nucleotides. It matches the Rfam family "Small nucleolar RNA U19". The record is from Rfam. Lineage: Eukaryota; Viridiplantae; Streptophyta; Magnoliopsida; Brassicales; Brassicaceae.